RNAcentral lists this ribosomal RNA (499 nucleotides) under uncultured bacterium. RNAcentral's name for it is "partial 16S ribosomal RNA". It matches the Rfam family "Bacterial small subunit ribosomal RNA", at positions 28 to 507 of the family's 1533-position model. The record is from RNAcentral.
GACGAACGCUGGCGGCGUGCUUAACACAUGCAAGUCGAACGGGCCCGCCCCUGUUUUUGGGGGUGGGUUGAGUGGCGAACGGGUGAGUAUCACGUGAGUAACCUGCCCCCUGCUCCUGGAUAACUGCUUGAAAGGGCGGCUAAUACGGGGUGUGCCGGCUGGCCCGCAUGGGCCUGGUCGGGAUAGUUUCAUCUUCGGGUGUUUCGGUGGGGGAUGGGCUCGCGGCCUAUCAGCUUGUUGGUGGGGUGAUGGCCCACCAAGGCGGUGACGGGUAGCCGGCCUGAGAGGGUGGGCGGCCACACUGGGACUGAGACACGGCCCAGACUCCUGCGGGAGGCAGCAGUGGGGGGUAUUGCACAAUGGGCGGAAGCCUGAUGCAGCGACGUCGCGUGAGGGAUGGAGGCCUUCGGGUUGUGAACCUCUUUCUCCGGUGGUGAAGGCCCUGUCCGUUGCGGCGGGGUUGACGGUAGCCGGGGAUGAAGCGCCGGCUAACUACGUG